UGGGGAAUAUUGCGCAAUGGGCGAAAGCCUGACGCAGCGACGCCGCGUGAGGGAUGAAGGCCUUCGGGUUGUAAACCUCUUUCAGCGCCGAAGAAGCGUAAGUGACGGUAGGCGCAGAAGAAGCACCGGCUAACUACGUGCCAGCAGCCGCGGUAAUACGUAGGGUGCAAGCGUUGUCCGGAAUUAUUGGGCGUAAAGAGCUCGUAGGCGGUUUGUCGCGUCUGCUGUGAAAACUCGGGGCUUAACCCCGGGCCUGCAGUGGGUACGGGCAGACUAGAGUGCGGUAGGGGAGACUGGAAUUCCUGGUGUAGCGGUGAAAUGCGCAGAUAUCAGGAGGAACACCGGUGGCGAAGGCGGGUCUCUGGGCCGUAACUGACGCUGAGGAGCGAAAGCGUGGGGAGCGAACAG
RNAcentral lists this ribosomal RNA (408 nucleotides) under uncultured bacterium. RNAcentral's name for it is "bacterial SSU rRNA". It matches the Rfam family "Bacterial small subunit ribosomal RNA", at positions 355 to 775 of the family's 1533-position model. The record is from RNAcentral.